This 2381-nucleotide ribosomal RNA is filed under the name Staphylococcus aureus. RNAcentral's name for it is "partial 23S ribosomal RNA". It matches the Rfam family "Bacterial large subunit ribosomal RNA", at positions 540 to 2925 of the family's 2925-position model. The record is from RNAcentral. Lineage: Bacteria; Bacillati; Bacillota; Bacilli; Caryophanales; Staphylococcaceae.
GAAAUAGAACCUGAAACCGUGUGCUUACAAGUAGUCAGAGCCCGUUAAUGGGUGAUGGCGUGCCUUUUGUAGAAUGAACCGGCGAGUUACGAUUUGAUGCAAGGUUAAGCAGUAAAUGUGGAGCCGUAGCGAAAGCGAGUCUGAAUAGGGCGUUUAGUAUUUGGUCGUAGACCCGAAACCAGGUGAUCUACCCUUGGUCAGGUUGAAGUUCAGGUAACACUGAAUGGAGGACCGAACCGACUUACGUUGAAAAGUGAGCGGAUGAACUGAGGGUAGCGGAGAAAUUCCAAUCGAACCUGGAGAUAGCUGGUUCUCUCCGAAAUAGCUUUAGGGCUAGCCUCAAGUGAUGAUUAUUGGAGGUAGAGCACUGUUUGGACGAGGGGCCCCUCUCGGGUUACCGAAUUCAGACAAACUCCGAAUGCCAAUUAAUUUAACUUGGGAGUCAGAACAUGGGUGAUAAGGUCCGUGUUCGAAAGGGAAACAGCCCAGACCACCAGCUAAGGUCCCAAAAUAUAUGUUAAGUGGAAAAGGAUGUGGCGUUGCCCAGACAACUAGGAUGUUGGCUUAGAAGCAGCCAUCAUUUAAAGAGUGCGUAAUAGCUCACUAGUCGAGUGACACUGCGCCGAAAAUGUACCGGGGCUAAACAUAUUACCGAAGCUGUGGAUUGUCCUUUGGACAAUGGUAGGAGAGCGUUCUAAGGGCGUUGAAGCAUGAUCGUAAGGACAUGUGGAGCGCUUAGAAGUGAGAAUGCCGGUGUGAGUAGCGAAAGACGGGUGAGAAUCCCGUCCACCGAUUGACUAAGGUUUCCAGAGGAAGGCUCGUCCGCUCUGGGUUAGUCGGGUCCUAAGCUGAGGCCGACAGGCGUAGGCGAUGGAUAACAGGUUGAUAUUCCUGUACCACCUAUAAUCGUUUUAAUCGAUGGGGGGACGCAGUAGGAUAGGCGAAGCGUGCGAUUGGAUUGCACGUCUAAGCAGUAAGGCUGAGUAUUAGGCAAAUCCGGUACUCGUUAAGGCUGAGCUGUGAUGGGGAGAAGACAUUGUGUCUUCGAGUCGUUGAUUUCACACUGCCGAGAAAAGCCUCUAGAUAGAAAAUAGGUGCCCGUACCGCAAACCGACACAGGUAGUCAAGAUGAGAAUUCUAAGGUGAGCGAGCGAACUCUCGUUAAGGAACUCGGCAAAAUGACCCCGUAACUUCGGGAGAAGGGGUGCUCUUUAGGGUUAACGCCCAGAAGAGCCGCAGUGAAUAGGCCCAAGCGACUGUUUAUCAAAAACACAGGUCUCUGCUAAACCGUAAGGUGAUGUAUAGGGGCUGACGCCUGCCCGGUGCUGGAAGGUUAAGAGGAGUGGUUAGCUUCUGCGAAGCUACGAAUCGAAGCCCCAGUAAACGGCGGCCGUAACUAUAACGGUCCUAAGGUAGCGAAAUUCCUUGUCGGGUAAGUUCCGACCCGCACGAAAGGCGUAACGAUUUGGGCACUGUCUCAACGAGAGACUCGGUGAAAUCAUAGUACCUGUGAAGAUGCAGGUUACCCGCGACAGGACGGAAAGACCCCGUGGAGCUUUACUGUAGCCUGAUAUUGAAAUUCGGCACAGCUUGUACAGGAUAGGUAGGAGCCUUUGAAACGUGAGCGCUAGCUUACGUGGAGGCGCUGGUGGGAUACUACCCUAGCUGUGUUGGCUUUCUAACCCGCACCACUUAUCGUGGUGGGAGACAGUGUCAGGCGGGCAGUUUGACUGGGGCGGUCGCCUCCUAAAAGGUAACGGAGGCGCUCAAAGGUUCCCUCAGAAUGGUUGGAAAUCAUUCAUAGAGUGUAAAGGCAUAAGGGAGCUUGACUGCGAGACCUACAAGUCGAGCAGGGUCGAAAGACGGACUUAGUGAUCCGGUGGUUCCGCAUGGAAGGGCCAUCGCUCAACGGAUAAAAGCUACCCCGGGGAUAACAGGCUUAUCUCCCCCAAGAGUUCACAUCGACGGGGAGGUUUGGCACCUCGAUGUCGGCUCAUCGCAUCCUGGGGCUGUAGUCGGUCCCAAGGGUUGGGCUGUUCGCCCAUUAAAGCGGUACGCGAGCUGGGUUCAGAACGUCGUGAGACAGUUCGGUCCCUAUCCGUCGUGGGCGUAGGAAAUUUGAGAGGAGCUGUCCUUAGUACGAGAGGACCGGGAUGGACAUACCUCUGGUGUACCAGUUGUCGUGCCAACGGCAUAGCUGGGUAGCUAUGUGUGGACGGGAUAAGUGCUGAAAGCAUCUAAGCAUGAAGCCCCCCUCAAGAUGAGAUUUCCCAACUUCGGUUAUAAGAUCCCUCAAAGAUGAUGAGGUUAAUAGGUUCGAGGUGGAAGCAUGGUGACAUGUGGAGCUGACGAAUACUAAUCGAUCGAAGACUUAAUCAAAA